UACAGAGGGUGCAAGCGUUAAUCGGAAUUACUGGGCGUAAAGCGCGCGUAGGCGGCUUGACAAGUCGAGUGUGAAAUCCCCGGGCUUAACCUGGGACCUGUAUUCGAAACUGUCUUGCUAGAGUAUGGGAGAGGGAAGUGGAAUUUCAGGUGUAGCGGUGAAAUGCGUAGAUAUCUGAAGGAACAUCAGUGGCGAAAGCGACUUCCUGGACCAAUACUGACGCUCAGGUGCGAAAGCGUGGGGAGCAAACAGG
RNAcentral lists this unclassified non-coding RNA (253 nucleotides) under uncultured Gammaproteobacteria bacterium. Its description in RNAcentral is "contains 16S-23S intergenic spacer region". It matches the Rfam family "Bacterial small subunit ribosomal RNA", at positions 524 to 776 of the family's 1533-position model. The record is from RNAcentral. Lineage: Bacteria; Pseudomonadati; Pseudomonadota; Gammaproteobacteria.